Molecule: ribosomal RNA, 460 nt
Filed under: uncultured bacterium
Lineage: Bacteria
Description: partial 16S ribosomal RNA
Rfam family: Bacterial small subunit ribosomal RNA
Source: RNAcentral
CCUACGGGUGGCAGCAGUGAGGAAUAUUGGUCAAUGGACGAGAGUCUGAACCAGCGAAGUAGCGUGAAUGAUGACUGCCCUAUGGGUUGUAAACUUCUUUUAUAUGGGAAUAAAAUGUUCCGCGUGUGGGAGUUUGUAUGUACCAUAUGAAUAAGGAACGGCUAACUCCGUGCCAGCAGCAGCGGUAAUACGGAGGAUCCGAGCGUUUUCCGGAUUUAUUGGGGUUAAAGGGGGCGUAGGGGGAUUAUUAAGUCAGUUGUGAAAGUUUGCGGCUCAACCGUAAAACUGCAGUUGAAACUGGAUGUCUUGAGUACAGUAGAGGUGGGAGGAAUUCGUGGUGUAGCGGUGAAAUGCUUAGAUAUCACGAAGAACUCCGAUUGCGAAGGCAGUUCACUGGACUGCAACUGACACUGAGGCUCGAAAGUGUGGGUAUCAAACAGGAUUAGAUACCCUAGUAGUC